This 1825-nucleotide long non-coding RNA is filed under the name Ananas comosus (pineapple). RNAcentral's name for it is "long non-coding RNA (ACOM_LNC028538)". The record is from RNAcentral. Lineage: Eukaryota; Viridiplantae; Streptophyta; Magnoliopsida; Poales; Bromeliaceae.
AAUUGGAAAGAAAGCUAUUUAAAAAAGGAAUAAUUACUUAUAUAUCUCUCUCGAAACUUAAAAAAAUCUAAUUUAUUCUUUUUUUUUUUACUUUUAAUAACUCCUUAUAUAUUCAUCCGUUAUUCAAAAAUAUCACCGCAGUUACCACCCGUUAAGUUAUCCCGACUUAAGCGUCAGUUAAAUAUCUACCAAAGUUAAAAAAUUAAAAUACCUUUUUUGUCCUUAAUUUAAGGAUAAAUAAAAAAAGUUGGUGAUAAUAGAGAAGUAUAUUUGAAAAGUUCAAAAAUCAAAUGCUUCUGCUGUCCAUAACUUAAGGGCAAAUAAAAAAAAAAUUAUGAUGAUAGAAAGAUAUAUUUAAAAGGGCAAAAUGAUAAUUUUAUAGAAAUAACGAUUAUAGUUAACGGUUUAUUAAUAAAACUUAACUCUUUAUAGAUAUAUUUAAAAUAACUUGAAACACAAAAACAAAAAAAAAAAAAAAAACCCCAAAAAUAAAGAAUUAAAUAAUAGUAGAUUGUAAAAAUGGCACCAAAAAAAAAGAAAGAAAAAAAAAAAUAGUGAGAGAAAGAAGUGGUGGAGAGAGAAGCAAGUUUAUGCUUGUCUCCCUCCCAUGCAUAUUCUCUCUCUCUCUAAAAACCCAAGUCAAAUUUCUCUCUCUUCACCCACAAAAGUAGAGCUACAGAUAAAUAAUAUGGAGGAAGAUUCUAUUCUUUAAUCUCGUCUCAUCCCAAAACAGAGGAUACCCAUCUCGUUUUCUGUUCCUCUGACUUGGUUGUUUGUUGUUUCCACCACCUUUCUCCUUGGAAUUUAUUCAGUUUUCUCAAAAAAAAAAAAAAGACGAAUCAAAUGAAUCCAAAGAAACUUUUGGAUGAGUCACGUGCGCGUCCUUUGAUUCUGAUACUGUAGAUGAUGGUUCUUGGGUUUCAAUGAUAUUAAGCUUCAAAAGAUGAGAUUUUGUGUCUAAGUUGUGAAAUCUCUGAGGUAUCGUUUGGUUCGAGGGUAAGCAAAAAGUGACUAUUCCAAGAAUAGAUAUAAAUUGAGGUAUAAGUGGAGAUUAGAUCAAUUUUGUAUUUGAAUGAAAAUUAGAUUAUUUCUAGGAAUUAAAAAAAAUAGCAUUUGAUUAGGUAAGAUGGAAUAAAAAAAAUAGUAAAUUUUUUUACAUAAAAAAUAAUGAUAUUACUUUCUUAUUAUAUUUGAAUUUGAAUUUUUAAUUUUUAAAUCUAAAAUUUUAAUUUUGAAAUUUCAAAAUUUAAAAUUUAAAAUUUAAAAUUCAAAUUCUCAAAUUUUAAAUUCAAAAUUUUAAAUUUUAAAUUUUUUGGUCAAAUUUCAUCCCAUUUGGCGAAAUAGCAGGAAUAAAAUAUUCCGGGAAUAACAAGAUUUAACCGGGAUAAAAUAUUCCGGCCAAAUUUCACCCCGUUUGGCAAAAUAGCGGGAAUAACUUUUGUUAUCCCCGCUUAUCAUACGAAUCAAAUGGUGCCUUAAAGAAAGAAGUUUGAAAAAGGUAAUAUUUUGGUGCGGUAAAACGCGUCUAAGCUGUCAGAGUUGAGAACUUAAGUUUAAAGGGAAAACAGAGAGAGAGAGAGAGAGAGAGAGAGAGCUCCAAAACGGUGGUAUGUUGAUGCAUUGAAACUAAUUUAAUCUCUCAAAGGCGAGAUUUUUACCCAUUUGAAUGCCAAAAAACAGAGCAUCUACAGAGAGAUAAACAGAGAGAGAGAGAGAGAGAGCGCUCUUAAAGGUGAUAUUUUGAUACAUUGAAACGAGAGUUAAAUCUCAAAGGUGAGAUUUUUAGAGAGAGAGAGAGAGAGAGAGAGAGCGUGAGAGAGAUGAG